This 333-nucleotide long non-coding RNA is filed under the name Capsicum annuum. RNAcentral's name for it is "long non-coding RNA (CANN_LNC016065)". Lineage: Eukaryota; Viridiplantae; Streptophyta; Magnoliopsida; Solanales; Solanaceae. The record is from RNAcentral.
CACAUUUCAUCCCACACUCUAGUUAUUAAUCAGAGAACAAAUUUCCUGCAUCCUCCAUACACCAGUAUUAUAUAAAUAACAUGUUGUAUUCCCAUCUCCCCGGCCUAUUUUCAUCGCUCUCGUAUUCAACAACUACCUUGGUUUGCCAACCAUAGAAUGAAUCUAUGUUUUGGAAGAGUAACUCGCAUUCCAUACUAACUCCGCAACCUUAACCCUUGGUGUCUCUCCUAUUAGGUGCAUAUAGCUCAAGGAAGUAGAGUACUUCCCAUUGGUAGAUAAGGACUAGUGGCCAUAUUCAUACCAGCUAGUCAUUUUACUCUUUACUUUAUUCAA